This 513-nucleotide ribosomal RNA is filed under the name uncultured bacterium. Its description in RNAcentral is "partial 16S ribosomal RNA". It matches the Rfam family "Bacterial small subunit ribosomal RNA", at positions 28 to 523 of the family's 1533-position model. The record is from RNAcentral.
GACGAACGCUGGCGGCAUGCCUAAUACAUGCAAGUCGAGCGAACAGAUGAAGUGCUUGCACUUCUGACGUUAGCGGCGAACGGGUGAGUAACACGUAAGGAAUCUACCUAUAAGCGGGGGAUAACAUUCGGAAACGGGUGCUAAUACCGCAUAAUAUCUUCUUCCGCAUGGAAGAAGAUUGAAAGACGGCUCUGCUGUCACUUAUAGAUGACCUUGCGGUGCAUUAGUUAGUUGGUGGGGUAACGGCCUACCAAGACGAUGAUGCAUAGCCGCACUGAGAGGGUGAUCGGCCACAUUGGGACUGAGACACGGCCCAAACUCCUACGGGAGGCAGCAGUAGGGAAUCUUCCGCAAUGGGCGAAAGCCUGACGGAGCAAUGCCGCGUGAGUGAAGAAGGCCUUCGGGUCGUAAAACUCCGUUAUAAGAGAAGAACAAAUUGUAGAGUAACUGCUACAGUCUUGACGGUAUCUUAUCAGAAAGCCACGGCUAACUACGUGCCAGCAGCCGCGGUAA